This 468-nucleotide ribosomal RNA is filed under the name uncultured bacterium. Its description in RNAcentral is "partial 16S ribosomal RNA". It matches the Rfam family "Bacterial small subunit ribosomal RNA", at positions 28 to 507 of the family's 1533-position model. The record is from RNAcentral.
GACGAACGCUGGCGGCGUGCUUAACACAUGCAAGUCGAACGGAAAGGCCCUGCUUUUGUGGGGUGCUCGAGUGGCGAACGGGUGAGUAACACGUGAGUAACCUGCCCUUGACUUUGGGAUAACUUCAGGAAACUGGGGCUAAUACCGGAUAGGAGCUCCUGCUGCAUGGUGGGGGUUGGAAAGUUUCGGCGGUUGGGGAUGGACUCGCGGCUUAUCAGCUUGUUGGUGGGGUAGUGGCUUACCAAGGCUUUGACGGGUAGCCGGCCUGAGAGGGUGACCGGCCACAUUGGGACUGAGAUACGGCCCGAACUCCUACGGGAGGCAGCAGGGGGGAAUAUUGCAAAAUGGGCGGAAGCCUGAUGCAGCAACGCCGCGUGCGGGAUGACGGCCUUCGGGUUGUAAACCGCUUUCGCCUGUGACGAAGCGUGAGUGACGGUAAUGGGUAAAGAAGCACCGGCUAACUACGUG